RNAcentral lists this long non-coding RNA (351 nucleotides) under Cricetulus griseus (Chinese hamster). Its description in RNAcentral is "lncRNA (ENSCGRG00000026222.1)". Lineage: Eukaryota; Metazoa; Chordata; Mammalia; Rodentia; Cricetidae. The record is from RNAcentral.
CAUUCAUUGGUCCUGUUAGAAAUCACCCAUGAAUGAUUUCCUUUAUUUUCUUUCUCUCUCAUGAGUCAUACAGAAUCCCUCAGAUUACUCAUAGCCUUCUCCCUGCUGAGCUAACAGGAAUUGACUACCCACACCUGCCCAUGUCUGCCUUCAAGUAGUGUUCACACCUGCCUGGGCAUCCACACUAAGAUGAGCAGCAUCACAGGAGAGGAAAAGCCAAGGAGAUGCCUGCCUUGUCUGCAGAAACAGGAUGGUCAGCUAUCUAAGCCCAUAGCUGGAGUCACCAGUCUUCCUUCUCCCAGGGCUGUUUAUCACUUGAAUCAUUUGAACAGAAGAUCACAAGACCACUGA